CGGACACCGGCUUCAGCGCCCGAGCGUGCGCGCGCGUCUCCGCUCGUCGCCCGGCUCGGCGUCGGGAGUGCACUCUGUGUGGCCGCUGCUGCAGUGUUGUUGUGGUUGUGAGAAGGCGGCGGCGGCGGCGGAGUAGCAGCCGGACCAGACGCCCUAGUAGCUCAGUCGCUGCCCUGCGCCGGGCCUGGCAGGGAGCCUGGUGAGAUGGUGGAGGAGGAGGCUGUGCCGUGGCGGGCCUUGCCAUGUCCUGCUGCCUGGAGGGAAGGAAUUCAUGGAGGGCUAAAAAUUUUGGAGAGGACAAAGUUUUAAGGAGUCUCAAUACCAAAUCCUCAUCUUGGCUCUGCCUUCAAGUUACUGUUUCUUUGGAU
Molecule: long non-coding RNA, 368 nt
Filed under: Homo sapiens (human)
Lineage: Eukaryota; Metazoa; Chordata; Mammalia; Primates; Hominidae
Description: HSALNT0379742
Source: RNAcentral